GAAAAAGAAAACUGGUUACAACAGAAUGAUCUGAUCAAAUUAAUUUUGGGAUUACAGCAGGCCCUGAUCGUAUUUACAAAUCAGUAAAAUAGUAAUUUAAAAUAACUUUUACUAGGCAGUUCCUGCAAUACACCCGUAACUCCUGAUAAAAUGUUAGUGUGGCAAUAAUGCACACCAAAAAUUGUUUGGUGAAGACAAUAGUCUUAACUCUCAGUAACCCAUGAUUUAUUUUUGUGGAUCCUUAGAAGACCAUAACAAAUAAAUGUUAACUGCUCUGAGACAAAAAUAAGCACUUCUUUUUUUUAAUAGCUUCAGCAAAGAACACUGCAAGUAAUAAUAAAGAGAUGCCCACUGGAAUGCAGCCCUACCACCAAGCCACAAAAAUACAACAAUUGAUCUUCAUAUACAUUUUAAUGUCAAACUACAAGUGAGUAAAAUAUUUUGACAUUUACCAGGAGAGAGAGGUGAAAAAGCCAUAACCUGGCAAAGUUAAGUAGACUGUACUUGCCAAAAUUAGACAUUUGAAAACAACAAGCACACAUUCACCUCCUGACACUUGUUAAAAAAAGAAAGUUCAUUCUACUGACUAAAACAUAACAUCUGUAUUAUGACUCCAUUAUUUGCGUGACUUCCAUGGCUGAAUUCUUCCAGAGAUUUUGUAACAAUUAAACAAGUAAAUUUAAGAAUAACACACACCCAGAAAACAGAUUUACUUUUGUUAGUACUUCAGUCAGGAAAGUUUAUUGUGUAGUGAUGCACUAACCAGUUAUUUUAGUUUUUUCCAGCAAAUCCUGUAAUAAGUAACAUACUUUAUAAAAAGUAAAGUAAGAAUAAGAAAACUCAGUAACCUUGAUAAUGUUUGACAAGCAUUCUGAAACCCUAUUUUACCUUCAGAAUCUUUAGGUAAUUUAGCUGGAACCUGACUGUAACAUUAAAGUUCAAUAAGACUAA
Molecule: long non-coding RNA, 951 nt
Organism: Thalassophryne amazonica
Lineage: Eukaryota; Metazoa; Chordata; Actinopteri; Batrachoidiformes; Batrachoididae
Exons: 2
Source: RefSeq, a predicted model, not a curated record